AGUUAAUGCCUGCUGCUUCCUUUCUUUGCCCUGUUUGCUUAACUUUAUUUCUCUUCUUCACAUUGCUAUUUGAGUUACACUACAAUUUCAAAUGUGUUGCAUGCUUGGCACUGGAUGUACAAAGCAGUCAGAUUAAACAUAGUGUGCAUACAGAAUUUUGGUGUUGCUCUGCAUCCUCUGUCAAGAUGUUCUAUGUGUACUUCACCCAAUCGAUCUCGCAGGAAGUCCAGGGUUACCUUAUCAUUUUCAAGGUCAAGCCGCAGCUUGCAACAAGUACAAUAGAUGAGAUGCACAAAAAUCUUCAGAGAGCAAGUCAAAUUUAAUCUUCAACAACAAGUAGACCGUUUUCAUUCUUCUGUUCUUGCCACUAACUACGG
RNAcentral lists this long non-coding RNA (377 nucleotides) under Phoenix dactylifera (date palm). Its description in RNAcentral is "long non-coding RNA (PDAC_LNC022804)". Lineage: Eukaryota; Viridiplantae; Streptophyta; Magnoliopsida; Arecales; Arecaceae. The record is from RNAcentral.